This 573-nucleotide ribosomal RNA is filed under the name Triticum aestivum (bread wheat). RNAcentral describes it as "partial small subunit ribosomal RNA". Lineage: Eukaryota; Viridiplantae; Streptophyta; Magnoliopsida; Poales; Poaceae. The record is from RNAcentral.
AUGUGCGGAAAUCUGUCAUCUAUCUCUUCAAACUUCUGGUGGGGUGAAGCGGACGGUCAUAAGAAAGUGCAUUGGAUUGGAUGGAAAAAAAUGUGUACACGUAAGCAGGAGGGAGGCCUUGGGUUUCGGGACCCGAAGGCUUUCAACCAAGCAAUGCUAGCCAAGGAGGCAUGGCGAUUGCUUCAGGUGCCAAACUCGUUAUGUGGAAGGGUACUAAAGGCACGGUAUUUUCCUGAUGGAUCAAUACUGAAUGCUACAUGUCCCACUGGGGGCUCUUAUACCUUCCGGAGCAUAUUGCAUGGCCGCGACCUGCUUAAUGACGGGCUAAUAUGGCGGAUCGGUGACGACUCUCGAAUCUCCAUCCACCACGACAACUGGAUUCCGAGGAAAGGCAGUCUGAGGCCACUGGGCCAGAUUUACAUCAACGGCAUCACUCGAGUAGGGGAUCUACUUGAGGAUGAUGGCUACUCGUGGGACAGAAACAAGUUACAUGCGAUGUUCCCCCCGGAUGAAGCGAAUGAGAUACUACAAAUCCCGGUGGGGGGGCAAGAUGUUCAGGAUUACUUGUCGUAG